CUACCNNAGUACUAUGAAUGAUUAAAAAUUUAAAACUCAAAGAACUUGGCGGUGUUUUAAACCAUUUAGGGGAACUUGUCUCGUAAUCGACAGUCCACGUUGUACCUGACCUUUUUUCGUUUUCAGUUUGUAUACCGUUGUCGUCAGGUAACUUUUUANAAGGCAGAAGUUGGCUCUGGAAAUAUAAUGAUUUANUACGUCAAAUCAAGGUGCAGCUAAUAAAAAGGGGAGGAUGAGUUACAGUUAUAUAGUUAUAAUUACGGAUACCCAUAUGAAAGUGUGGGUAAUGAAGGAGGACUUGAAAGUAAAUUGAUUUAUAAAAGCAGUUUGAAUAAAGCUCUGAAACGUGU
Molecule: ribosomal RNA, 350 nt
Filed under: Oxymeris maculata
Lineage: Eukaryota; Metazoa; Mollusca; Gastropoda; Neogastropoda; Terebridae
Description: partial 12S ribosomal RNA
Source: RNAcentral